RNAcentral lists this transfer RNA (22 nucleotides) under Diadema antillarum. Its description in RNAcentral is "partial tRNA-Lys". Lineage: Eukaryota; Metazoa; Echinodermata; Echinoidea; Diadematoida; Diadematidae. The record is from RNAcentral. RNAcentral also lists the same sequence under 1 other name.
AGUUAAACUCUACUAUUAAGGG